RNAcentral lists this transfer RNA (88 nucleotides) under Aeromonas hydrophila. Its description in RNAcentral is "tRNA-Ser". It matches the Rfam family "tRNA". From Rfam's summary of the family: Transfer RNA (tRNA) molecules are approximately 80 nucleotides in length. Their secondary structure includes four short double-helical elements and three loops (D, anti-codon, and T loops). Further hydrogen bonds mediate the characteristic L-shaped molecular structure. tRNAs have two regions of fundamental functional importance: the anti-codon, which is responsible for specific mRNA codon recognition, and the 3' end, to which the tRNAs corresponding amino acid is attached (by aminoacyl-tRNA synthetases). tRNAs cope with the degeneracy of the genetic code in two manners: having more than one tRNA (with a specific anti-codon) for a particular amino acid; and 'wobble' base-pairing, i.e. permitting non-standard base-pairing at the 3rd anti-codon position. The record is from RNAcentral. RNAcentral also lists the same sequence under 2 other names. Lineage: Bacteria; Pseudomonadati; Pseudomonadota; Gammaproteobacteria; Aeromonadales; Aeromonadaceae.
GGAGGGUUGGCAGAGCGGCUGAAUGCACCGGUCUUGAAAACCGGCGAAGGUCACACUUCCCAGGGUUCGAAUCCCUGAUCCUCCGCCA